GAUGAACGCUGGCGGCGUGCCUAAUACAUGCAAGUCGAGCGAACAGACGAGGAGCUUGCUCCUCUGACGUUAGCGGCGGACGGGUGAGUAACACGUGGAUAACCUACCUAUAAGACUGGGAUAACUUCGGGAAACCGGCGCUAAUACCGUAUAAUAUAUUGAACCGCAUGGUUCAAUAGUGAAAGACGGUUUUGCUGUCACUUAUAGAUGGAUCCGCGCCGCAUUAGCUAGUUGGUAAGGUAACGGCUUACCAAGGCAACGAUGCGUAGCCGACCUGAGAGGGUGAUCGGCCACACUGGAACUGAGACACGGUCCAGACUCCUACGGGAGGCAGCAGUAGGGAAUCUUCCGCAAUGGGCGAAAGCCUGACGGAGCAACGCCGCGUGAGUGAUGAAGGUCUUCGGAUCGUAAAACUCUGUUAUUAGGGAAGAACAAAUGUGUAAGUAACUAUGCACGUCUUGACGGUACCUAAUCAGAAAGCCACGGCUAACUACGUG
This 497-nucleotide ribosomal RNA is filed under the name uncultured bacterium. RNAcentral's name for it is "partial 16S ribosomal RNA". It matches the Rfam family "Bacterial small subunit ribosomal RNA", at positions 28 to 507 of the family's 1533-position model. The record is from RNAcentral.